This 686-nucleotide long non-coding RNA is filed under the name Nicotiana benthamiana. RNAcentral's name for it is "long non-coding RNA (NBEN_LNC005026)". The record is from RNAcentral. Lineage: Eukaryota; Viridiplantae; Streptophyta; Magnoliopsida; Solanales; Solanaceae.
ACACCUACAACCGCCACACUCAAGAAACCCCCCUCCCCUCUUCUCUUCUUCUUCUUCUUCUUCUUCUUCAAACCACCCAACCAAUUAGCCACCCACCUCUGCUUCUCCUUCACGUCCCAACAGCUACCACCCUCACCACCAUCGCCCGUCGUUUCCCCGUCACUGCCAGAACCAGCAACCACCCAACGACCCCUCAUUUUUUCAGUCAAACGCCACACCCACAGCCUCUCCAUCUCCAUCGUCAAACAACCAUGAACAACCAGACCACAACGUACAGCGUCGUCAAUCUCUAUCGUCAAAACAGCCAUUUCCGACCAGCUCCACGUCGUUCUCGUCCAGCAACCACUCGACCAAACAACCACCCUCUACCGUCCCUCAACCAAACAACCACCACUGCUUCUGCCCAUCUUCAGCCCCCGCCUCCAAUCCAAACAGCCCCGUCAUCAACUUCUCCUCCAGUAAGCAAUGAAACCAAACGACCCCAUCGGCUUCUGCUUCAGUCACCAUCUCCUUCAAACGAACACUACAGCCGCCAGUAAAACCUCAUGUCCAAACGACCCCAUCUGCUUUUGCUCCGUCACAACAGGAAAAGGGUGAAGACAACUUGGUUAUUUGGAUCUUGGACUAUGAGAAGUUCCAGCGUUGUCAAUCUCCAUCAUCAAACAGCCAUUUCCGACAAGCUCCAC